RNAcentral lists this long non-coding RNA (374 nucleotides) under Mytilus galloprovincialis (Mediterranean mussel). The record is from RNAcentral. Lineage: Eukaryota; Metazoa; Mollusca; Bivalvia; Mytilida; Mytilidae.
GAAAACACAAUUUUUAUCAAGUUUUAUUUAAUUCACCUGUGCACUUUAUUGUGGGACCUCGUGUCAUCAUGAAUGAUAAAUUUUAUUUAAGAAUUGAAUGCUUCUUUUUGUAACUUCAUUGGGGUGUAAAAGCGUUGACCGAAGUACAUUUUGUAUGAAGCGCUUCAUUCUAAAAAUGUACGCACGGUCAACGCUUUUACAACCCUAUAAAGUUACAAAAAGAAGCAUUCAAGCAUUCAAUACUUAUAAUUACAUUUUUUUUAGCUAGAAUCGUGAAAACACGAAUUUUAUCAAUUUUUUUUAUUUAAUUCACCUGUGCACUUUAUUGUGGGACCUCGUGUUAUCACGACUGAAAAGUUUUAUUGAGUACUGCA